This 253-nucleotide ribosomal RNA is filed under the name uncultured bacterium. Its description in RNAcentral is "partial 16S ribosomal RNA". It matches the Rfam family "Bacterial small subunit ribosomal RNA", at positions 524 to 776 of the family's 1533-position model. The record is from RNAcentral.
UACGGAGGGUGCAAGCGUUAAUCGGAAUUACUGGGCGUAAAGCGCACGCAGGUGGCUGAGAAAGUCGAUUGUGAAAGCCCUGGGCUUAACCUGGGAAUUGCAGUCGAAACUACUCGGCUAGAGUAUGGGAGAGGGUAGUGGAAUUCCCGGUGUAGCGGUGAAAUGCGUAGAUAUCGGGAGGAACAUCAGUGGCGAAGGCGGCCAUCUGGACGGAUACUGACGCUGAGACGCGAAAGCAUGGGGAGCAAACAGG